UGGGGAAUUUUGCACAAUGGGGGAAACCCUGAUGCAGCGACGCCGCGUGUACGAUGAAGAUCUUCGGAUUGUAAAGUACUGUCCUUGGUGAAGAUAAUGACUGUAACCAAGAAGCAAGCCCUGGCUAAAUACGUGCCAGCAGCCGCGGUAAUACGUAUGGGCAAGCGUUGUCCGGAAUUAUUGGGCGUAAAGGGUACGUAGGCGGUUAUUUAAGUCUAAAUUAAAAGGCAUUGGCUCAACCAAUGUAAGGUUUAGAUACUGGAUAACUUGAGUAGAUGAGGGGAAAGUGGAAUUCCAUGUGUAGCGGUGAAAUGCGUAGAUAUAUGGGGGAACACCAAUGGCGAAGGCAACUUUCUGGAAUCAAACUGACGCUGAGGUACGAAGGCGUGGGGAGCAAACAGG
This 402-nucleotide ribosomal RNA is filed under the name Fusobacteriota bacterium. RNAcentral's name for it is "Fusobacteria bacterium partial 16S ribosomal RNA". It matches the Rfam family "Bacterial small subunit ribosomal RNA", at positions 355 to 776 of the family's 1533-position model. Lineage: Bacteria; Fusobacteriati; Fusobacteriota. The record is from RNAcentral.